RNAcentral lists this ribosomal RNA (380 nucleotides) under uncultured eukaryote. Its description in RNAcentral is "partial 18S ribosomal RNA". It matches the Rfam family "Eukaryotic small subunit ribosomal RNA", at positions 592 to 976 of the family's 1831-position model. The record is from RNAcentral.
CAAUAGCGUAUAUUAAAGUUGUUGCAGUUAAAAAGCUCGUAGUUGGAUCUGUGGUGUGCGGUGGGCUCCGGGCACUUGUUGUCUGAGUAGCUCGCCGCUGCCAUCCUUGGGUGGAACCUGUGUGGCAUUAGGUUGUCGUGCAGGGGAUGCCCAUCGUUUACUGUGAAAAAAUUAGAGUGUUCAAAGCAGGCUUAUGCCGUUGAAUAUAUUAGCAUGGAAUAAUGAGAUAGGACUUUUUCGCUAUUUUGUUGGUUUGCGCGAAGAGGUAAUGAUUAAUAGGGACAGUUGGGGGUAUUCGUAUCCCAUUGUCAGAGGUGAAAUUCUUGGAUUUUUGGAAGACGAACUACUGCGAAAGCAUUUACCAAGGAUGUUUUCAUUAA